UUUUUUUUUUUUUUUUUUUUUUUUUUUGGUCUUUUUGCCUUUUCUAGGGCCGCUUCCUGCAGCAUAUGGAGGCUCCUAGGCUAGGGGUUGCAUCGGAGCUGUAGGCGCCAGCCUGCACCAGAGCCACAGCAACACGGGGUCCGAACUGCAUCUGCAACCUACAUCACAGCUCACGGCAACACCAGAUCCUUAACCCACUGAGCAAGGCCAGGGAUUGAAUCUGCAACCUCAUGGUUCCUAGUCGGAUUUGUUAACCGCUGCGCCACGACAGGAACUCCUUUCUUAACUUUUUAAUGACUUUUUUAGAUACAACUUAGAGUCAAGUGCAGAGAUCUCAGGGCAUCUGUGAUGUGCCUCCACGUGCACGCACCCCCCAGAUGACAGCUGCGUGCCUCUAGCGCCCGAGGCUGCCUGUGGCCCUCCCGGUGGAGAGGCUGGAGUAAGCUCUGUCCUGUCCUCUAUCACCAUCAACUGGUUCGGCCCGGUUUUGACGUUUACAUAAAUGCAACCACAAGGUAGGCUCUUUUGUGUCUGCUUCUUCCACAAAACAUGAUGGAUGUUUUCCUUCUGUCCUCAGAUCCUAUGAGCCACCUCUUGUCCCCCACCUGCUCCUGAAAUACCUGUAUCUGCCCCUCUACUUCCUCAGCCCACACACCCCCUGACAGCACGCAGCACCAGGUUCCCACCGCCCUGCAUCCCACCACCUCUCCAGUUCCCUCCAGUCCAGACCCCUGACCUCAUCUCCAGACCCAAAUGCCUACUGAAUUCUUCACCUAGAGAGCUUACAGGGAAUCCAUUUUUUCCAACAAAACAUGCCCUGCCCUGUUCACCUCCCAUCUUGCAUGUCCAUUCACCAGGGGCCAGGCUAGGCCACCCCAGAAGCACCCAGAAGCCUACCUCACCUUUACUUCCAAAGCCCAACUAAUCGUCGGCUUGCAUCCACUGUGCUUCCUACCAUCCCUGGGAUCCAUGCUUCUCUCCCCAGCCCCUGCCCAGGCCCUCAUCUCUCAAUUGAACUCUCAUAGUAACUUUUUUCUUUUUGGCCACACCCACAGCAUGCAGAAACUCCUGAGUCAGGGAUCGAACCCAAGCCACAGAAGUGACAAUGCCAAAUCUUCAACUGCUAGGCCACCAGGGAGCUCCUCGUAGUAACUCUUAAGAGUCCACUGCCUCAUGUCUUCCCUCUCCGAUCUGUCUCCAUAGCAACACCAUGGAUUCAAAAGAAGCAAAAGGAUACCGGAUUCUGUAGCCAUCCACUCAAAACACACACUAUUGCUCACCAACCAGAGUCCGCCCUCUCUGCCCGGCCCCUGGCCCAAGCCUCCCUCUCCUGUUUUGGCUCCUGACACUCUCCUCUUCCCACCUCCUCACCACACAUCCAAGAUGCUCACACACACAUCAGCACGUGCUCUUCCCUCGGCCAACUGCCUUUCCCCACUGGACUGAGCAGGAAGCCACCUCCACAUCACUGUGCAAUGUACACAGCGCCCCUCUGAGAACGCACCUGCCUUCAAGGGCCCCGGCCCUGCCUCUGGACGGCGCUGCUGCACUUUGGUUGUGCCCAUCAUUCUCUGAGCUCUGGGGGCCAGUGACAGCGUCACCUCUCUCUGGUCUCUGCUGCCCAGCACAGAGUCUGACAAAAUGGUGAUUACAGAAUGGAUGGUGUGGGCUGUAAGGGUUCCUCUCGGUGAAGGUGGGACAAGUCCCUAGUCUGAUAAGGAGACGGUGUGCCACUCCUCAGGUAACCCCAGAUCUGUUCACGGAGAAGCCCUGCGGAAAAGACAACAGGGCAGCCGGCAGCCCACAAGGAAGAACAGAAAAUUUGUGGGGAGCCAGAGACAGCCCAGGAAGCUGGGGCAUCAGAGAAGAAGAGCCCGCAAGACUUCCUGCUCCAGCCCAGAAGUGGCCAGGUCGCCUGGCAGCACUAGGAACCCAGGACCUGAGCUGCUCUUGGGUCCGAAGCCUGAGGCACGCCCAUCUACACAGGCGGCCCCUUCUGUUUCUAACAGCAUCUGGCCCAUUUCCUAGACCACAGUGAGCUGCUUCUAGGCCAGAUCACAGCACGAGGUGGGCAAAGACCAGCAAGCCCUCCCCACGCCCUGCCACAAUUCUUAUUCCCAAGACACAAAAAUACAGGGACGGUCCACACCUUAGACCUCUGCCCAGACUUGGAACUGAAGAAAGAUCCCCCUUCCCUGCAUCUUGCACUCUGGGAGCCUGGAAAGAUCCACUCUGAGGAAUCCUGGAAUGGCCUAGAGAUUCUUGGUUCCAAUACCUCAUGUCCAUAACCAUGCAGGAAAACAAAAAGAAAAAAUAUGCUGGAUGACGAGGUACAGGUAAGUUCCACCUCCUCCCCUCUCCUGCUGAGGCCAGACUGGAGCCUGGCAGUGGUGGUUCCCUCAGGACACAGGUCCAGGAAGAAACCCAACCUCUCACUCAGCAGGAACGAGGCCACCCAAACCCAAACCGUAAAGGCUCAGGGAGAGUUAGGUCAUAGUAUGGUGACAGCAGCACACCCUCUCCAAAGCACGGCCCCCUCCCAGGAAGACCAGGCCUCACCUCCACAGGCCAAGUACACCAGGGCUGGGCAUGCGACCUUAACCAGUCCCUCACUGGAUCUCCUGAGGCCACAGGACGCAUUUCCUGCCAAUCACACACCUCAGCCCCAGCCCCAGCAGGAAUUACCCACCCCAGGCCCCCUGCUGCAGCUAUGGCUGUGCCUACUUUUCCUGGCGCAAUUCUUCCUGAUGCUCAGUGAACAGGACCUGACUAAGGGAGGGGUGGGCAGACACAUAAAGUUAUGAACUGAUUUCCCAAGUGACCAUUUCUUUAAGGACAUGAUUCCAGAGAAGAAAAGGGAGCAGACACCAAGCAUAAACAAAGGCUCUUCUGUGUGACUCUACUUUCAUUAGAAUGACAACUAAUUGAAAGCAAUUUAAUGUUGGUUCAUGAAAGGUUAAUGGAAUUCAUGUUUUGGAGAUACUGACUGCAACACAGACUUAGCCAGAAACACAAAUCUAACCUUUAUUCUCUUUAAUUAUUCGGUCAGAAUAAUUUCCUGGGAGCAGGUUUAGUCUCUGGAUGGCUUUAAUUAAACACCACUGAACUUUGAAGCUGACAUCAGCUCAUCUAGCUGCAACUCAAUUUUCAAAUUAAUCUGGUGUCUAACAGAGAGGUUUUGUGGCCUAAGCAGGGGAGACGGGGAGCGGAAGACAGGCUUAGAGCCUGACAGGUAUGAACCAGCUCUGGAACAUCUUGCAUCUUUCCCCCACCCCUCCAGUGGCAAAGCACUUCCAUGCCCUGUGCCAGGAGCUCCCUAAGGAGAGGGGCCCAGGCUGAGCUGGGCAACCAAGCUGCCUCCUUCCUUGGCUCCACUCUCUUAACAACUUGAGUAUAAGCCUGGUAUAGCCACACCCUGAAGGGGGGAGCUCCAGCCAGCAGCCCCAGCCCAACCACCUCCACUCCACUCUCCUACCUGCCCCUGCAUCUCUCCCUCUCCUCCCUGGGGCAGAAAUGUGUGAAGAGCCAUGGAGACACCUUCACUGCCUGGCUAGGGGCCCUCAGGUAACUCCCCUAUUUUUCCCCCAUUCCCCAACCUCCCUUCUGGCACUCCACCCAGGCUCCAGGUACUGGCCUCUUUUUUUCUGCCUUUGAAAACACAUGCCCCUAAUUUUGUCAGUUGUUCUUUGUAGGCAUAUCAUGUCCCUUUUGCAAUGAGCUUUUUUUUUAUUAUUAUUUUUAAAUUUUUUUGCUUUUUAGGGCCACACCUGCGGCAUAUGGAGGUUCCCAGGCUACUAGGGGUCUAGUCGGAGCUGUAGCCGCCGGCCUACACCACAGCCACAGCAACGCAGUAUUUGAGCCGUGUCUGCGACCUACAUCACAGCUCACAGCAAUGCCGGAUCCUUAACCCACUGAGUGAGGCCAGGGAUCGAACCUGCAACCUCGUGGUUACUAGACAGAUUCGUUUCUGCUGCACUACAAUGGGAACUCCUGCAAUGAGCUUCUGCUUCUUUCUAAAACUGUUCUCCUGCUGACCAGGAGGCAAUCCCACCACUUCUUACUCAUAGCUUGAGCCAGGUCGGACGGCUUCCCUCAGAAUGGCAUUUGGAGUGGGCGAGUAGUGGCAAGCAAGUAGGCAAGCUGGACUGAACUUGCCGGACAGUGUGAAGGACCUGCAUGUCGGCCCUGAGGUAGAGCCAUAUGACCAUGCCAACGCUCAGUGUCAGGGACAAGGUCAGGGCAAGGGAUGGCAUGAUGUCCAGGAGGGUUGUGUCAGAACUUGAAGGGAAAAAAAAAUAAUCUAGUUCCCUGGUGGCCUAGCAGUUAGGGAUCUGGCGUUGAACUGCUGUGGCUCAGGUUCGUUCAGUCCCUGGCCUGAGAACUUUUGCAUGCCACGGGUACAGUCCCCCCCACCCCCAAUUAUUUUUCUAGAGAAUGAUACUCCCAGCCACUUUGCUUGCCCCGUUUCCAUUAGCAUUUUGCAGCAGCUUCCUUAGAUAUCAGCUCUAACAGACUCUGGACCCUGAGCAAGGAGCAUCUGCUCUCAAUCUACUCAGCCCAACACAUCCUGCAUCAACACAGCACCCCACAUACCCCAGAGCCCCACAAAGGCCAGGAUUCCUGACUCGAGCCUAUGCAAGUGACAGCUGCAAAUGACCAUCCCCUCCAAUCCUCAGCCGGGAGGUGGCUGAGCCACCCCAGGUGCUCUGUUGGUAUAAGGAGAGCCAGGGUCAGCUGAUGAUCCCUCACAAAUGCAGAGCGCACCUUGCUACAGCCAAAGCAACAUGGGGCCCAGAACAGAAGCCACAGCCCGGCUUCCCCCACCCGUACCCAGCCAGGGGCAACCUAUCCUCAAGCAACCAAACCCACCAGUGCCACGGAGCUCGCAGAUAGGACAGGUGAGGGAUAACCACAUCAUUCCUCCCUAACAAGACAGUUUCUGGACCAUAUGGUUUACCAACCCGAAGAGACCAAGAGACAACCUGAAAAGAAGGACCUAAAAAUAAUUCUUAAAGGAGUUUCCCUAAAUAUAAUCACGAUGCCUCGCUUACACAGGCAAAGGUAUCUGAAUCAUCUGGGGUUCCCUGGUGCCUAGCAGUGCGUGCUUCUGCACACCAAUUACAUAACUGGAAGAAGCAGAGGACUGGUGGAAGUCCCUAAUGAUUGACCAAGGGUUAGAGGUGCCCCGGAUGACCAAGGAUGACGGCCACUGAACCUGACAAGAGGAGCACUAAGGACAGGGCCCCACUUCUCAACCCUGACAUGGGCAAUCUUUGGUGCUAGAUUAAAGAGUGCUCCAACCCAGGAUACGUGUGGUCAAAAUGUCAAAUAAAUGGAUGACACCACUGGGACCAAAUACUAUGAGCAUUUCUAAGCAGUCAAUCAUUAUUGACACUGAAUAACCUUUCGUUACUGAAUAUCAAAGGCCAGAGAGUGAAAGGCGUACACAGCUUCCAGAAAUAGGAAAAGGCCAAAGGAAGACUUGGAGAUUAGGACCCUCAACAUGGGACAAGCUUGAGAAGCCUGCCCAGGGCUACACACACAAAAAGGGGAGAAACAGUGUAUAAAUCAAAGAAAUCCUGCCAAUGUUAUAAAAGCCACUCCCACCUCCACCAGGCCACUGACAGCUUCACACUGGAGUUACAGUGGAUGAAGGACCAGAAAGGGAAAGGAAAGCUUAUCAGACCUGGAGAGGGAAUUUGGCUGACAGAAAACAAAAGAGUGAACAGGCACUUCUUUGAAAGGAAAAGUAUCAAGCAGUCAUUUCGACCUUUCUUGCUCUUGUUCACCCUAAAAGAAUUUUUAAAAGCGAUGUGUACCCCUUUUUAUUAUGUAAGCUUAACAUCUAAAGUUUUUCAUUAUAAGGGUAAGAAAGGCAAGACGACAGAAUAGGAGGACUCAAACUCACUUCUCAUGAAAACAGCAAAAUUACAACGAACGGCUGAAAAACCACCAGUAAAACAGACCAGAAGCUACCAAAAAAGAUAUCCUACAACCACAGACAAAGAAGCCACAUCGAGAUGGUAGGAGGGGCACUCUUGCAAUACAAGCAAUCCCAUACCUGUCAGGAGUGACCCACAGCCUGGCCAAUGACUAUAUCCCAGAGUCUCUGUAAUAGGAGUGAAAGUUCUGAAUCCCACAUCAGGUUCCCCAGCCAUGGGGAUCUGGCAUUGGGAGGAGGGGGAGGAGAAGGAGGAGCCCCUACAGCAUUUGGCAUUGAAGGCAGGGGGGCUUGUGUGCAGGAGCUCCACAGGACUGGGGGAAAGAGAGCCUUCAUUCUUGGAGCAUGCACGCAGCGUUUCAUGUGCACUAGGUCCCGGGGCAAAGAGGGAACGCCAUAAGAAUCUGGGUCAGACCCUACCUGCAGGUCUUAAAGGGUAUCCUGGAAAAGCAGAGGGUGGCUGCUGCUCACUGUAGAGAAAGGACAGUGGGAGUGGAGGUCCUGGGAAUAACCACUGGCAUGAGCUCCCCUGGAAGCUGUCAUUUUGGAAAAAUCUAGCCCCACCCAUCAGGGCUGAGAAGCACAGGCCAAACAAAAAGGGUGGGAACAAAGCUCCACCUCUCAAACAGGCUGCCUAAGGUCCUCCCAGGCACAGAUCCACCUCUAAUCACACCCAGAGACAGAGCCCCACCCACCAGAAGAGAAGACUCGGCUCCAUCUAGCAGUGGGCAGGCACCAGUCCCUCCCAUCAGGAAGCCUGCCACGAGCCCCUUUAUCAACGUGACCCCCAAGGAGGCAGACACCAGAAGCAAGACAGGCUACAACCCUGCAGCCUACAAAAAAGAGACCACACAAAAAAAACUAUACAAAACAAAAAGGAAGAGAAAGAAUGUAUACCUGUAUGUGUAACUGGGUCACCUUGCUGUACAGUAGAAAAUUGAGAGAACACUGUAAACCAGCUAUAAUGGAAAAAAAUAAAAAUUAAAAAAAAAGAAAGAAAAGGCAGAGAAACAUGACUCAGAUAAGGGAAUAAAUCAAAACCCUAGAAAAACACUAAGUGAACUGGAGAUAAGCAACUUCUAUGAAAGAGACGUUAGAGUAAUGACAGUAAAGAUGAUCCAAGAUCUCAGAAAAAACUGGAGGCGAAGAUCUACAAACUACAAGAAAUGUUUCAACAAAGAAACAAAGAUUUAAAGGUUAAACAAGGGUAGGAUCAAGACGGCAGAGGAGUAAGAUGAGGUGCUCACCUUAUCCCACAUACACAUCCUGAAAAACCACCUACAUAUAGAACGAUUCACACAGAACAUCUAAAGAACACUGGCAGAGACCCUAAACCUCCACAAAGGGCAAGAAACCUCUCCACAUAACUGGGUAGAACAAAAGGAAAAAAAAGAGAGAAAGAGAAAGGAAUCAGGACGUGACUAGCACUCCUGAGAGGGAGCUGUGAAAGAGGAAAGGAACCCACCCCCUGGGAAGCCACCCAACUGAUAGGGAGAUCAGCCGAGACAGAGGGACCUCAAAGCUUCAGAGAGGAGUUCCCAUCACGGCACAACAGAAAAAAAAAUCUGACCAGGAACCACAGGAUUGCAGGUUUGAUCCCUGACCUCGCUCAGUGGGUUAAGGAUCCAGCAUUGCCUUGAGCUGUGGUGUAGGUCAGACGCAGCUCGGAUCUAGCGUUGCUGUGGCUCUGGCGUAGGCCAGCAGCUGUAGCUCCGAUUAGACCCCUGGCCUGGGAACCUCCUUGUGCCACGGGUGCAGCCCUAAAAAGACAACAACAAC
This 7720-nucleotide long non-coding RNA is filed under the name Sus scrofa (pig). RNAcentral describes it as "lncRNA (ENSSSCG00000057383.1, ENSSSCG00105002971.1)". The record is from RNAcentral. Lineage: Eukaryota; Metazoa; Chordata; Mammalia; Artiodactyla; Suidae.